GAUUUCUGGUUUGAUGUGCCUGUCCCGCCACGGUAACGUGUGUGAGUGACGGUGUACGUCUGCCAUCCUUCUAGAUUCGGCAGGCUAUUCUUAACUGAGUGGUCUGUCUGUUCUAGAUCUUUUACUUUGAAAAAAUUAGAGUGUUUCAAGCAGGCUUUUGCUAUGAAUACAUUAGCAUGGAAUAAUGAGUUAGGACUUCGGUUCUAUUUUGUUGGUUUCUAGGGCUGAAGUAAUGAUUGAUAGGGACAGUUGGGGGUGCUAGUAUUCAGUGCGAAGAGGUGAAAUUCUUGGAUCCACUGAAGACUAACUUAUGCGAAAGCAUU
RNAcentral lists this ribosomal RNA (323 nucleotides) under uncultured Cryomonadida. Its description in RNAcentral is "SSU rRNA". The stretch from base 63 to 323 matches the Rfam family "Eukaryotic small subunit ribosomal RNA", at positions 693 to 955 of the family's 1831-position model. The record is from RNAcentral. Lineage: Eukaryota; Cercozoa; Thecofilosea.